GGUUGCAGGGUGAUUGGCUCCGGUAGUCUGUCAACCACAUCCCCUCGGCAUAUUUUCAACGAUAUCGAAGGGAUCUGAUAAUUCUAAUGCCGAUUGGUACAUCUCAUUCCAAACUGAUGAACUGUACACUGUAAAAUGUGCUCCAAAACUACAUAUCUUAGACUGAGUAUUACAAAUUCAAAAGUAAAAAUUUGUAAAAGAUACAAGUAACCUUCCAAUUUUGUCAUAAUCUCAAAAAAAAUAUUUAUUUUGAAACCAAAUGUCGUUAUUUAAUGAUAUUUCAUCAAUUAAAAAAAGUGACAACAUAGGUGUUUCCUUUAACAUUCAAAUUAUAAAUUUUUAUUUUGCCAUUUCUUUUUUUGCAUGCCGAAUCAAUGUGCACACAACUUCGGAGCUACGAUCUUUUUCUGAAUGAACAUCAUCAUCAACACUUGUAACUAGGUUGUCAAACUAAUAUCCGGGAUAGACGGAAAAGACACCAACAGUCUCUGAUUCCGAUUGACCAACUCAUCUCUCUCUCUUCUGCUUUUUUUUUUUUUUUUUUUUUUUUUUUUGUGAAAACGACGUGGAUGCACGUGCUGUCGUGCCUCCGGGUAGCUACGCCCCUGUGCACAUAGAUC
Molecule: long non-coding RNA, 620 nt
Filed under: Mytilus galloprovincialis (Mediterranean mussel)
Lineage: Eukaryota; Metazoa; Mollusca; Bivalvia; Mytilida; Mytilidae
Source: RNAcentral